GAGAGAUGGCUCAGUGGGUAAGAGCACUGACUGCUCUCCUGAAGGUCCUGAGUUCAAAUCCCAGCAACCACAUGGUGGCUCACAACCACCCGUAACGAGAUCUGACUCUUGUCUUCCGGAGUGUCUAAAGACAGCUACAGUGUACUUACACAUAACAAAUUAAAAAAAAAUCUUUAAAAGAAAAUGAUUCAGGAAAUAUGAAUUAGAUAUACAAUAAAGCUGAGAAUCACACUUGUAUUGUGGAACUAACAAAUGUCUCAAGACUUGAUGGUACUGAUGACUUGGAGACUAGGAGCAAUUACAUUGCCACCCUUUGGCCAGGACUCUCUUCCCUUGAGGUGAAAAGUACCACAGCUGCCCCGGGGAGGACAGUGCACAGUGAAAGGGAAAGUACUUACUGAGUACCGAGACCUUUCUUUCUAGGUCUUUGCUUACCCAAGUUCCUCAAGGUUAGGACUCAAACCAUUCACCAUAAAACAAUGUUUUACUAUUAAAAUUGUUCUCUGAGAAUUCCAUACAUGUAUCAAAUGUCUUCUUAUUCUCAUGACCCAAUCUUUUCUCUUUCUCUCCCUCCCAUCUACCUCUUCAAUUCCUUACCAGUCUCUUUCUCACAUUCAAAUCUUUUUGUUUUGUGUUGUGUUGUGUUGUGUUGUUACCCACUGACCUGCAUAAGGGACAUUGGAGGAACAUAAGUUUGGAACUGCCCUUCAGAGGUUGGUGGGCUCACCAGUGGUACACAUGGGGAGAUAAGGACUCCCCAUCCACCAGGGUUCAUCAAUAGUAGCCAAUAGCUCAGCCGGAAUGAGCUCCUCCCUGUCCAUAACUGGCUGUUAAUGAUUUUUUUUAUUAGAUAUUUUCUUCAUUUACAUUUCAAAUGAUAUCCCGAAAGUUCCCUAUACCCUCCCCCCGCCCUGCUCCCCAACCCCCCCACUCCCACUUCUUGGCCCUGGUGUUCCCCUGUACUGGGGCAUAUAAAGUUUGCAAAACCAAGGGACCUCUCUUCCCAAUGAUGACUGACUAGGCCAUCUUCUGCUCCAUAUGCAGCUAGAGACAUGAGCUCUGGGGGUACUGGUUAGUUCAUAUUGUUGUUCCACCUAUAGGGUUGCACACCCCUUCAGCUCCUUGGGUACUUUCUCUAGCUUCUCCAUUGGGGGGCCCUGUAUGUUCCAUCUUAUAGAUGACUGUGAGCAUCCACUUCUGUAUUUGCCAGACACUGGCAUAGCCUCAUAUGGGACAACUAUACCAGGGUCCCUUCAGCAAAAUCUUGCUUGCAUAUGCAAUAGUGUCUGGGUUUGGUGGCUGAUUAUGGGAUGGAUCCCCAGGUGGGGUAGUCUCUGAAUAGUCCAUCCUUUAGUCUUAGCUCCAAACUUUGUCUCUGUAACUCCUUUCAUGGGUAUUUUGUUCCCUAUUCUAAGGAGGAACGAAGUAUCCACCCAUUGGUCUUGAUCUUCUUGAUUUUCUUGUGUUUUGCAAAUUGCAUCUUGGGUGUUCUAUAUUUCUGGGCUAAUAUCCACUUAUCAGUGAGUGCAUAUCUAAUUAUUUAAAACUGGGCUUAGAUGUGCAAGAAUUUUUAGGGGGAUUUUCAAAAGAGAGGACACACCAAAUGUACAAGCCCUUUCGCAGCCAAAAAAUUGGCCAACACCAAAUCCAGACACUAUUGCAGAUGCCAAGAAGUGCUUGCUGACAGGAGCCUGAUACAGUUGUCUCCUAAGAGGCUCUGCCAGAUCCUGAUAAUACAGAUGUGGAUGCUCACAGCCAACCAUAGAAUUGAGCACAGGGACUCCAAUGGAGGAGUUAGGGGAAGGACUGAUGAAGCUGAAGGGGCCUUAUCUGGCAUCAGCGGGAGAGGAGGCCCUUGAUCCUGUGAAAACUUGAUGCCCUACCAUAGAGAAAUGCUAGAGUAGUGAGGUGGAAGUGGGUGGGUGGGUAGGGGAAGCAUCCUCAUAAAAGCAGGGUAAGGGGGGAUGGGAUAGGGGGUUUCCAAAGGGGAAACCAGGAAAGGGGAUAACAUUUGGAAUGUCAAUAAAUAAAAUAUCUAAUUAAAAAAAUUGACUGAAUUAAAAAAAAAAACACAUUGUUUUCUCUGCAAACAAAGAGAAAUCUGAAGUUCAGUAACAAAGACCUAAAGAUACUGCUUGCCAGCGCCUAGGGUUGAUGAUGAAAAGCACAUUGCCACAUCAGUGUCUCCUCUUCUGUUGAUUGGUGCUGGGGAUGGCUCUAGGCCUACCCCAGCUAACUUCCCCAAUAAACUCCAGUUCCGGGGAAUCUGACUCUUUUCUAACUUGGCAGGCACCAGGUGUUACACAAGGUAUAUAUACAUCCAUGCAGGCAAAAUACUCUUCACAUAAAUAGAAAAUAUUCUUAAAAUGUUUAUAAUUUUUCCCAAUACUGAACAUGUACAGGUCUUUUUGUUAUUCCUUGAUAUUAGUGUUAUAACAACUAAUUAGGUAGCAUUACACAGUACUAGGUGUCAUCUGGAUGGAGGUUUGGAGCUAGAUGGGUAGGUUGCAUACAGGUACUGUUGUGUCAUUUAAGAGGAUCCUGAAAUAAGUGCUCGAUAUGUUAGUGUUCUAGAUUCUUCUGCUGGGAUAAAUACUCUAGUGAGAGGAGUUUAAGGGAAGAGCGUUAUUCUGACUUGCUGUUGAAGAGUUCAGUCCAUCACAGUAGGGAAGUCGGGACAGCAGGGACUUGAAGGAAGCUUGUGAGCGAGCAUAGGAGGUCCACAUGAGUCAGGGAGCUGAGAGCUUGGAUGUGUGCUGCUGCUAAGCACCCAAAGUAACCCAAGUUACUUUGCUGUGUGUUUUGUCACAACAAAGGGAGGAGUAAUGAAGGCAGUGUCAGACGCACACCAGCGGACCAAAGCUCGUUGAGGAAACAGCAGCUUUUAGAUGUAAUGAUGUCGUCUCCAAUAAACAGUGAUCCAACCUGAAGACCUUUUACCUUAUGGUGGAUUCAGAAUGAUGCGAUCCCAUUGUAAAUGGGAGACCUAGAUAGUAGCAAGUCCCUGAGAAAAGUAGAGAUAGACAAUCGAAUGAUGUCCCAGAAAAUAGAGCAAAAGAAUGAAUUAGAGGGGCUGCUGAGAUGGCUCAGACAGAGUACGGACUGUUCUUCGUAAGGUUCAAAGUUCAAAUCCCAGCAGCCACAUGGUGGCUCACAAGUACCUGUAAUGAGAUCUAAUGCCCUCUUCUGCUUCUGGAAUGAAAGAAAUUUGAAAAUUAGGUUAUUUUUAAGUAAUAUUUCUAGAGCAUAGAU
RNAcentral lists this long non-coding RNA (3252 nucleotides) under Mus musculus (house mouse). RNAcentral's name for it is "long non-coding RNA chr16:55992224-55995476". Lineage: Eukaryota; Metazoa; Chordata; Mammalia; Rodentia; Muridae. The record is from RNAcentral.